UACAGAGGUGGCAAGCGUUGUUCGGAAUUACUGGGCGUAAAGGGCGCGUAGGCGGUUCGUUAAGUCCUGUGUGAAAUCCCCCGGCUCAACUGGGGAACUGCACAGGAAACUAGCGGGCUUGAGUUCGGGAGAGGGAAGCGGAAUUCCGGGUAUAGCGGUGAAAUGCGUAGAUAUCCGGAGGAACACCGGUGGCGAAGGCGGCUUCCUGGACCGACACUGACGCUGAGGCGCGAAAGCUAGGGGAGCAAACGGG
This 253-nucleotide ribosomal RNA is filed under the name uncultured bacterium. RNAcentral's name for it is "partial 16S ribosomal RNA". It matches the Rfam family "Bacterial small subunit ribosomal RNA", at positions 524 to 776 of the family's 1533-position model. The record is from RNAcentral.